This 67-nucleotide transfer RNA is filed under the name uncultured Faecousia sp. It matches the Rfam family "tRNA". Rfam says of the family: Transfer RNA (tRNA) molecules are approximately 80 nucleotides in length. The record is from RNAcentral. Lineage: Bacteria; Bacillati; Bacillota; Clostridia; Eubacteriales; Oscillospiraceae.
GGGUAUAGCUCAAUUGGUAGAGCGGCGGUCUCCAAAACCGUAGGCUCUGGGUUCAAGUCCUAGUGCC